AGUGAACGCUGGCGGUAGGCCUAACACAUGCAAGUCGAACGGCAGCACAGUAAGAGCUUGCUCUUACGGGUGGCGAGUGGCGGACGGGUGAGGAAUACAUCGGAGUCUACUUUUUCGUGGGGGAUAACGUAGGGAAACUUACGCUAAUACCGCAUACGACCUACGGGUGAAAGCAGGGGAUCUUCGGACCUUGCGCGAUUGAAUGAGCCGAUGUCGGAUUAGCUAGUUGGCGGGGUAAAGGCCCACCAAGGCGACGAUCCGUAGCUGGUCUGAGAGGAUGAUCAGCCACACUGGAACUGAGACACGGUCCAGACUCCUACGGGAGGCAGCAGUGGGGAAUAUUGGACAAUGGGCGAAAGCCUGAUCCAGCCAUACCGCGUGGGUGAAGAAGGCCUUCGGGUUGUAAAGCCCUUUUGUUGGGAAAGAAAAGCAGCAGGUUAAUACCCCGCUGUUCUGACGGUACCCAAAGAAUAAGCACCGGCUAACUUCGUG
This 492-nucleotide ribosomal RNA is filed under the name uncultured bacterium. RNAcentral describes it as "partial 16S ribosomal RNA". It matches the Rfam family "Bacterial small subunit ribosomal RNA", at positions 29 to 507 of the family's 1533-position model. The record is from RNAcentral.